RNAcentral lists this ribosomal RNA (639 nucleotides) under Priestia aryabhattai. RNAcentral describes it as "bacterial SSU rRNA". It matches the Rfam family "Bacterial small subunit ribosomal RNA", at positions 52 to 673 of the family's 1533-position model. The record is from RNAcentral. Lineage: Bacteria; Bacillati; Bacillota; Bacilli; Caryophanales; Bacillaceae.
UACAUGCAGUCGAGCGAACUGAUUAGAAGCUUGCUUCUAUGACGUUAGCGGCGGACGGGUGAGUAACACGUGGGCAACCUGCCUGUAAGACUGGGAUAACUUCGGGAAACCGAAGCUAAUACCGGAUAGGAUCUUCUCCUUCAUGGGAGAUGAUUGAAAGAUGGUUUCGGCUAUCACUUACAGAUGGGCCCGCGGUGCAUUAGCUAGUUGGUGAGGUAACGGCUCACCAAGGCAACGAUGCAUAGCCGACCUGAGAGGGUGAUCGGCCACACUGGGACUGAGACACGGCCCAGACUCCUACGGGAGGCAGCAGUAGGGAAUCUUCCGCAAUGGACGAAAGUCUGACGGAGCAACGCCGCGUGAGUGAUGAAGGCUUUCGGGUCGUAAAACUCUGUUGUUAGGGAAGAACAAGUACGAGAGUAACUGCUCGUACCUUGACGGUACCUAACCAGAAAGCCACGGCUAACUACGUGCCAGCAGCCGCGGUAAUACGUAGGUGGCAAGCGUUAUCCGGAAUUAUUGGGCGUAAAGCGCGCGCAGGCGGUUUCUUAAGUCUGAUGUGAAAGCCCACGGCUCAACCGUGGAGGGUCAUUGGAAACUGGGGAACUUGAGUGCAGAAGAGAAAAGCGGAAUUCCACG